Molecule: non-coding RNA, 948 nt
Organism: Nicotiana tabacum (common tobacco)
Lineage: Eukaryota; Viridiplantae; Streptophyta; Magnoliopsida; Solanales; Solanaceae
Source: RefSeq, a predicted model, not a curated record
AGAUUUUUAGUUCAUGUAUUGCUUGAACUUUCAUCUCAAUAGAAAUUCAUGAAUUCUUGUACUUUCCCUUUUUCAGUGAGUUGAGCAAGGAGGAGGUGGUUUAGAGUAAUGCACAUGUCCACUAUUGAAUGUGAAGCUCUAACAGAAUUCAAAGGAUUUGGGUAACAGUAUGUAAGCUAUUACUACUCUUAGCUCGUUGGUGAAUGGAAAGUUGUGGUGACAUUCUCUAUCGAAUGGACAAUAACCUUGAAUGUGCUCUGUCAGCAAAGUUAAAUGGAGGAGUGGCCAGUGGUUGAUAAUGAACUCAUAUAGCGAGCAAGAUCAUUGGUGGUAUUAUCAAGGCAACAGUAACACGAUUUAUCAAUCCUUUGAUCGGUGAAAAAACUAAAAUGAUAUAAAGCUUACAAUUUCUGAGAAGGAGGUUGAUUAGAAUGAUGUGAUGCUUGAAGUUUCAGUUCAAACCACGUCUAGAAUUUGACAAGGCGGAUUCCUGGCCUAAAAUUGCUCAUAUUUCCACCAUAAGAGUCGAUGGGAAAUAUGUUGCAAUUACAGAAAUUUUUAUUCAUUGUAAGAAAAGAAAAGACACAGUAUAGGCUGAAAUUAAUAAUUUUAACUAGGAAGUUCAUAGCAAAUUGUAAUUUUAACAAACUAGACCUUUUUACCAUUAGCAUACGUAGAUAUGUCAGCCGGAGCCCGGAUAUGCAUAGUCUUUUGAAAUACGAGUGAAUCUUACUUGAAAAAUCUAUUACAGCUCGUAGCUCAGUUGGUGAAAUGGAUGUCGUGCUGACAUUCUCCAUUGACUAGACAAUCACCUUGAAUGUGAUCUGUCAGCAAAGUGUAAAUGAAGAUCUAUGUGGAAUUUGACAAUACUACUUCUCUUAGGAAAUAUUGUGCAAGACUUUCAGUAGGUACAUUUUAGCCUUAUCGCUGUAGGAAAACUGCUUGAGU